This 468-nucleotide ribosomal RNA is filed under the name uncultured bacterium. Its description in RNAcentral is "partial 16S ribosomal RNA". It matches the Rfam family "Bacterial small subunit ribosomal RNA", at positions 28 to 507 of the family's 1533-position model. The record is from RNAcentral.
GACGAACGCUGGCGGCGUGCUUAACACAUGCAAGUCGAACGGAAAGGCCCUGCUUUUGUGGGGUGCUCGAGUGGCGAACGGGUGAGUAACACGUGAGUAACCUGCCCUUGACUUUGGGAUAACUUCAGGAAACUGGGGCUAAUACCGGAUAGGAGCUCCUGCUGCAUGGUGGGGGUUGGAAAGUUUCGGCGGUUGGGGAUGGACUCGCGGCUUAUCAGCUUGUUGGUGGGGUAGUGGCUUACCAAGGCUUUGACGGGUAGCCGGCCUGAGAGGGUGACCGGCCACAUUGGGACUGAGAUACGGCCCAGACUCCUACGGGAGGCAGCAGGGGGGAAUAUUGCACAAUGGGCGGAAGCCUGAUGCAGAAACGCCGCGUGCGGGAUGACGGCCUUCGGGUUGUAAAACGCUUUAGCCUGUGACGAAGCGUGAGUGACGGUAAUGGGUAAAGAAGCACCGGCUAACUACGUG